UGGGGUAAUUUUCCGCAAUGGGCGAAAGCCUGACGGAGCAAUGCCGCGUGGAGGUGGAAGGCCUACGGGUCGUCAACUUCUUUUCUCGGAGAAGAAACAAUGACGGUAUCUGAGGAAUAAGCAUCGGCUAACUCUGUGCAG
This 141-nucleotide ribosomal RNA is filed under the name uncultured bacterium. RNAcentral describes it as "partial 16S rRNA". It matches the Rfam family "Bacterial small subunit ribosomal RNA", at positions 354 to 510 of the family's 1533-position model. The record is from RNAcentral.